UCAGUCAUGUCACUGAUGGGAUAUGAACUGGGAUAUGAACUUGCUUAUGGGAUACAAACCCAAUGAUGUCUUACUGAUUACAGGGGAGGAAAAAGAAAUCAAGUUGUUAGAGGUCAGAAUUCUUUUUAUUAUAAAGUAACUCCUCAAAGGUCCAUAAAUGAAUUCUAUUCAGUGAGGGAGACACAUCAAGGAAGUAUAGAGCUGGAAGACUUCCUUUUUUCUCACUAUUAAUAUUGAUACAUGGCAUUUUAAAAAUGUGUCUUCUAGUUCCAAGGCCGAACAUAAGGAUCAAAAAGUGGGUGGUGGCCCAAUUCCUGGAAAUCCCCCCCUUCCUGAAAUAGCUGGAAUACUCCUCCCACUCAUUAGCCUAUGAAAUUACCCACCCCUAUAAAAACUGACAACCCCAUACCCUGGGGCCGCUCUCGCCUUCUGAGAUGGCCCACACUCUGUCUAUGGAGUGUGUAUCUCUUGAAAUAAAUCCACUUCUUACCUUAAAAAAAAAAAAAUGUGUCUUCUGAUAUAGUUGCUUCACCAUAAUAACAAACAAUCUUAGUAUAUAAUAAUAAUAAUAAUAAUCUGCAGGCAUCCAUGUAUCAAAAUUUUUUUCAGAGAAUAUGCUGGUGGAGAGGCUCUCCACAAAAAAUAUUAAUAAUGAAGAGCCUGAGUUCUAGAACUGUGGUUUUUAUGAAGAUCCUGUUUACUUGAGUUCUAACCUCAGCAUAGUUACAGAAAGACUGAGAAUUCUCAGCAGUUAGUGUUCUUGGCAAUGAUCUGGGGAAGUACAAACGCAGCGUGGGUCAGCACAGAAGAUAGACAGGAAGGAGGUGGUGACCAGUAGGCAGCAUCGUGAAGGAUAUAAAGAGAAAUAGGACCUGGACUCAAAGAGUUGCCACCACCUUAUGCUAAGGGCUCAUAGUGAAGGCUAAUUUUUAAGAUAAAAACAUACCUAUACUGUAUUGUUUCUCUGAAGGAUUUGUUAGUAUUAUUAAACACACAUAUAUAAACAGUUAAUUGCCUAAUAAAUAAUAUUUAUUUCUUAAAUAGUUUCUUUUUAUCUCCUCAGUGAACACUUUUGGUUGUUGACAUCAAACUCUUGAGUUAUAAGAACGCCUGUCAAAGGCCUGUUAGAAAGUUCCUUGAAACCAGGUGGAUCGGACUGGUCCUUUAGUACAGUUGUAGAUGCCCACUGUGGGCAGACUGAGGAAACGACCCUCUUACCAGGAUGUGCUUGAACAAGGCCCAGGACAUUAAAAAAAAAAAAAAAAAAUCUUGCAAUUACACUUUUCUACCACUAGAUGAUAUGCACGUAUAAGCAAGAUGAAAACCCUCCUACCUUUCCUUUCUGCAUCAGUGGCCACAGGGAUGAUAGGGGCCAUCAAAGUUUACCACCUGCCUAUGGGCCAAAUCCAGUUUACCACCUCUCUUUGUAAAUAAAGUUUUAUUGGAACACAGCCAUGCUCAUUUGUCUGGGACUGAUUUUGCUCCACAAUGACAGAGAUAAAGAAAGUGAUUAAGGACACAAUGAAUCCUGGCACAUACGUUAAAUGACUGUAGCAGACAUACAUGACAAAGGCUGAUAGAUACCCCAUCAUCCCUACAGAAAAGGAAGGCGCACUGGACUGUUCCUUCCACUCAAUCUUUGUUGACUCUAAGAAAGGAGCAGACAAUCAACUGGUGUUAAGCCAUCAGUCAUCACUAUUCUCAGCUCAGCUGCCAAGAGAUGAAUGAGUUAGAUUCAACUGUCACUGAGGCCCUUCGAUAGACAUCAUCUCACUUAGAGGUCACAGCAACCCUUUGAGUGAAUCAUCUUCAUGGAUCAUCUCUGUCUGCUCCCCCUGGAGGGACCACUGAAAUGGAGUCGGGGGACAGGACAGGAGAAGAGCCCAGUGUGACAGGCCAUGGCUAGUUGGAGUACGACACCUGGGGAGUGUCUGGAAACAUUUCAGACGUGCUGACGGCGAGCUUUCCUCUCUGUGCUGCCCAGCUUCAGCUCGGUUUCUGCUAAGAUCUCUCUGGAGGUUCACAGGGAGUGAAGGGCUCAUUGCCCUGCUCUGUGUUGUUUGUCCUUGGCUUUAAUUGCCACUUGUGUCCUGAGCUAUGUGGUAAUAGCACUAAUAGCUAACAUUUGUUGACUGCUUACGAUCUGCCACUGUGCGAAGAGAUUUACACACAUUACCUCAUUGAUCUUGUUACAACCCUGUGAAGUUUUGCUAUCCUCGUUUCACAAAUGGGAAAACUGAGGUGUGGAAAGCUGUGACUUACAUUAGGGGUAUGUCUAAUCAGUGGCCCAGCUGGGAUUUGAACCCAAGUCUGUUCUCCACCAAAUCACUCAUUCUUAUCUGCCGUUCUGUACUGCCAGUAGGAUUAGGGUUUAGGUUCCUGAUAGUGAUCUGGAAGGAUUUCCAGCACUAUAAGUGACUCAAAUGGGAAGACUCAUCAGUUGCACAGACCAAAAGGUUGGGCUCCCAUCAGGUGUGGAUAAAUGAGAGGAAGCCAUCAGCUUUACGGAAGUGCAAAUGUGCCAGUGCAGUUACAAAUGAACGUCUCCAGUCAAAUCUGAGUCCUUUGUUUCAAGAUAAUCUGGCUCUCAUUGUAACCCCCAGCUUCAGGUAGCAAAUAUACGCUGAAUACUUUUCUGGAUGAGACCACUGGAGGCUGUAGUUGUUGUUUAAGGCACCUGAGUUCCAUUACAGACUAUACAUGGUUUAACCUUACAUUUAAGUGUUUGAAUGUGUGUGAGAGAGAUGUCAAGGGGUCCAGGAGUUUUCUUCAUUAUCUGUCAGAAGGCUUCAGCUUAGUGGAGUCAGAUAGACAUGGGUUCGAAUCCUCACUCUGGUACAUAUAAGCCGCGAGAACUUUGGCAAAUUAUCGUUCUUCCAGUCUUAAUUUCUUCAUCUUUAAAGAGGAGGUAAUAGUACCUGCUUCAGGGUGGUGCUGUGAGGAUUAAAUCCUAUACAUACGCAGUGCUUGGAGCACCGUAAGUGCUCAAAAAUUGGUAGCAGGUAUUGUUCUCGGUGACGCUGCUUUGUCUAAGAAGAGGCACUGAUGGAUCGUUGGUGGCGUUAAGUCCAUGUCCUCUGCCGUGCUGGUGAUGUCCUAUUUGAAAAUGAAAAGGAAUUUUUUUUUCUGAAUCUCCUCAGCAUCUUGCUGCCACAGGAAAAGAAAUCUGUUUCUACAAAGAGAUGCAAGAACUGGAGACACUGGAAGUUUACGGACUGGAGAAGGCGGCUCCGAGAAGAAAAGCAUUCUGGCGAUCAGCGACACUCUCCUGAGCCGCCCAGAUGUGGGCCAGAUGCUGCAACUCUGUAGAGACACGUCGGGCUCAGUGACUUGUGCCAUGACUUUCAUCCACGUGGCCAUGAAGGAUAGUGACUGAUCUCACUCCGAUGAUUAAGAGUGACUUCAGGGCUCUGGAAACAUGGGGGUAGGAGGCUGGGACUCAAGGGGGAGUCUUGACAAUCCUCCCAGUUGAGCAGAAGGGUUUCUGGAGCUGACAGCCCUGCUCUGGGGAUACAUGUCUACUUCACAUGCCUCGCCCCACACCUAACAUAGAAGAGGGCUCAGCAGGAAACACUGAGGGCACUUCAAUGGGAAGUGAUCUGCGAUUUCUGCCUUUGCAGAAAUCAUCUCUAGCGACUUUUUUUUUUUUUUCUAGCGACUUUUAUUUGGUGUUAUUAAAGACGAUUUUGAUGUGAUCUUAACUAUAGUGAUUCUUCCUAUCAUCACUUUCUCUUUCAUCAGCCUGUAUGGCCCCUUUUCUAGCUGGAAUUUCACUACACUGCUCAGCCUUCCAUUCCAUGCUUUUUAAAAAAUAUGACUACUUUAUUUAUUUGUGUAAUUGAACUAUAGUUGAUUUACGAUAUUUUGUUAGUUUCAGGUAUAUAGCAUAGUGAUUCAGUGUUUGGCAGAUUAUACUCCAUUAUAGGUUAUUACAAAAUAAUGACUAUAAUUCUCUGCGCUAUAUGGUAUA
Long non-coding RNA from Balaenoptera acutorostrata (minke whale), 3970 nucleotides. RefSeq lists it as uncharacterized. The record is from RefSeq and is a predicted model, not a curated record. The transcript has 6 exons. NCBI's taxonomy places the organism in Eukaryota, Metazoa, Chordata, Mammalia, Artiodactyla, Balaenopteridae.